GCCGAUGUAGCUCAAUGGUAGAGCAAUUGAUUUGUAAUCAAUAGGUUGGGGGUUCGAUACCCUUCAUCGGCUCCA
RNAcentral lists this transfer RNA (75 nucleotides) under Candidatus Cloacimonetes bacterium HGW-Cloacimonetes-1. RNAcentral describes it as "tRNA-Thr". It matches the Rfam family "tRNA". From Rfam's summary of the family: Transfer RNA (tRNA) molecules are approximately 80 nucleotides in length. Their secondary structure includes four short double-helical elements and three loops (D, anti-codon, and T loops). The record is from RNAcentral. Lineage: Bacteria; Pseudomonadati; Candidatus Cloacimonadota.